AUCCAGACGAUAGAAGAACAAAAAGUAAAAUUUCCCCUAUUUUUGGGUUAGAUCUGAAACGCGAACGAAAACCCUAACUCUAGUCGCCGCCGCGGCCGCCUCUUUCAAUUGUAGGCGGCUGUCUCGCGAUAGAGAGGGAAAUUCGUCAAGAUUCAGAUAUAGGGCUCACCGGCGACGACGUACGACGACGAUGAAGACGAGGAUACGAGUACCGGGAUCUCAGGAUCUUACACUGGAUUGGGAGGUGUUGGAAAAAUAUCAGGUGAGAAUUUUUGAUGAUUUUCUUCCGUCACUUUCCUUCUGAUACGAAAAAGUUACCGCAUAAAAGCUAGCCAUUUUAAAAAAAUUAACAGAUGCUCUUAUGCUUGAAAAUCCUUCUCCGGCUCCCCCUCAUCCCAGUCGAAAAGCACACACCAUGGAUGUGGUUAGAAUUCCAUCAAAUAUUGGCUACUUCCGGGACCUCCUCCAAAAUCGUAUUUCUUCUACAUUGUUAGAGGAUCAUCGGACAUCUCUUCGAGAUACACCUUUCGAUGAGUAUUUGGAUGUUCCUAAUAUUCCAAUUCAACAUGUUCUAGUGGAUUGCUUGCUGGAAGUCUUUGAUGUGAAAAAAAUAGCUUCAAAAUUGGAGGAAAAUGGACCUCUUUUAGUGUUCAAGAUGUUGCGAGAAUUACGGGUCUCCCGAUAGGAGGAUCUAUUGUAGAUACGAGGUUCCAUAGAAGCGAUCGCGAGACAAUCUACAAGCUCGUGCUAUCAUUUAGGUCGAAGGCAGAAAUUGUGGAGGAUAGGAAGUGUAGGACUAGGAGAGGAAAGAAGAAAACUAACGAGGGAAAGAAGAAGAUUGUGUGUGUGCUAGAAGGGGUAGGAUGGGUGAACUUAUUGAGGAGAUGGCUGAGCGUAGAGAUCCUCUUGUGCCACAGAUGCUCGUGGUUUUCAUCAUAGGCUUUAUAUUAUGUCCUCAAGCUAAUAUGGGUUGCCCUUUGUUUGCCUUUAGAUAUGCUGAGAAAUUGGAUACUCUUAAUGAGUACAAUUGGGCAGAAGCAGUGUUUAAUGUGUUAAGGACUGAGAUGGUUAAAGCUAAAAAGACCAUCACUAAGAGGUCUGAGGGAAAUCGAUGUAGAGGUGGUUAUAUGGGGGGCUUUGCAUCGGUUUUGGUGAUAUGGUUUUAUGAGCUUGUGGGAAAGUUAAGCCUUCGCGUAGGAGCUAAAUCCCUACCACCUAUCCUAAGCUUCUAUAAGUGUCCAAAACCUUUACGGAGGAAUGCGUUGCAGAAUUUAGUUAGAGACCCGGAUAAUUUUAGCCAAUAUCAUAAGGGCUCGAGGUCUCUAAAAUUUCAAAAGAGGAUUGCUGAAGCUGUCACUUCCACUAAAGAAGCUGCUUCUUCAAAAUUCAAGGGAAAUGUAUAAUGGUUUAUUUGUAUGUAAUGUUACUUUUCCUAUUAUUAUGUGGGUUCAAAUAGUAAUUUAAUGUGUUUUUUUGCUAAAAUGGAACUUAUUAUUCGAUGUUGGUGAAUUAUAUAUGCUUUCGUUGGUUUGAUUCAUGAAUGUAACUGUACUUGGGUUGUUCACAUGUAGGUAAUCACUGAAGCUGAUUUGGAUCAGCUCAUCCAUGAAAAAAAAGUUGAAUUAAACCUUCUCUUGAAGAUGAAGAGGGAAAUAUUCGGUGGAAGGCAAGAGGAUGUCGAUAGUGAUAGCGGAGAUGAGGAUGACGUGGAUGAUGAAGAUGAUAGUGAUGGAGGCGAUGAGGAUGGCAGGAAUGAGGAGGAUGAUAGAGAUGUAGGCGAAGGUGAAGGUGAAAGUGAUGAUGGAGUAGGAGAUGAGGGUGGUGGUGGUGAUGUGGAUGAGGAUGAUGGAGAUGUAGAUAGAAUGAAUGUAGAUAAAGAUGAUGGUGGAGAUGGUGCUAAUGACGAUGUAGACAUGGAUUCAAUUGAAGUGGAUGAUGACGCAUUUCUGCUUAGCCCGCGCGAUAUUGCGGUGAUUGAAGACAAGCGUAAAACCCCUUCCGUUAAACGAACGGUUCUAUCGAGAUCGCGGCUCGUCAGACCAUCUACACGUUCUCCCUUUGUCCCGCUUUGUAAUUGAAAAGGUGUACCAAAAUAUCCGGGAAGGAAGGAAGUAAGGGAUGAUGAACGAGACUACUCGAUAACUUUUGGAAGGACAAAAAAAUGACAAUGUAAGGAAUAUCGAAAGACCUAUUUUAUGACUUUUAUUGUGUUUUCAUUGACACAUUUAGUAAGUUUUUUUCAUAUAUAGGGAGACGUUAGUGUGGUCAUCAAGUGAUGCUUUGGUAACUCGUAAGGAUGCAUUGGAAUUAUUUAAAGGAGAAGCAAUUAGUUGAGACGUUAUAGUCUCCUAUGUUGUGCUUCUAAAUAUGUUGAUGGAGAUGCGUCCAAAUUAUGCAAAGGACAUAUACAUUGAGGGUUACUAUAUGCAUCAACGAAAAUAAUCCGUCAAGUGUCGAACGCAUGUUUAAGGCAAUAACUAGUACACGUUUCCUUGCACUUGAUAAGAUUAUUUUCCCACUUCUAACUUCAUUUCAUUGGCAUAUGUUGGUGUUAUCUAUAAAAGAUAGAAGGUUUCAUCAUUACUCUUUUCAACACGGAUAUAUGUCUGAUGCCAUUGAUUUUAGAGUGAAGCUUAUGACAUCCAUCCCUGAUGAGUGGAAUAUGGAUAUUAGCUCUUGUCAUGAGGUAGAAAGUGUUGAUGUACCUCAACAACGUGGUAGCCUAGAUUGCGGGGUGUUCUUGAUGUUAUAUAUGUUUAGCCUCGUAUCCGGUCAAGCAAUUUCAAUAGAUCAAAAGGAUUGUGCAAGACAUAGAGCUCAUAUCGUAGCUCUAUUUCUAUCUGAAGUUGAUUUCAGGAUAUAAACAAUCACCGCAAGCUCACUUCCCUGGAUGCUAGAUGCCAUCUAUCCUUUUUUUUCCUGUUGAUUGUUGUAAAUCAUCAAAUGGCAUCUAUACUUUUAUAUUUCGUCUACUAUUCUUUGAAGGCCCUUGGGCAAUUUCAAUGUUGAAUUUGGCCCUUCGAAGCUUACUGAUCCUUCGAAGAUUGGUGGGCUGUUGAAUGGGUUGGAAACUAUGAGGAUGAAUAACCUCUUUUGGCAGUCUUGAUGGUGAAUCUUUGGUGGUUUUUGCUUUGAAGAAUCAGAGAGCAGGAAGCUUUGUAGGAAUGAGCCAUUAUAGCAAACAAAAACAAAGCCUUUAACCCAAGUUUGCAACUAUCUAUUACAUUCUUUAUUAUUCUUUGCAUGUUGAGAGUUGUUUAUAUACAUAAAAUUGUUCCUAAUGAUGCUUGUUUAAGCCGUUGAGCCUCCGAGACGAGUAAUCAGCCAGCUAGAAAAGGAAAAACAAUAAAGAAGAGGGAAAACUGGAUUUAAGUUAAAAUUGUUCUGUAAUAUGUGUAUCUGAAAUAUGUGUGAGUAUGUUUUGUAACAUUUCUCAGCUUUUGACUAAGUUUGUGCCUGUGAAUGUAUCUGAAAUACGUGUGAGGAUGUUUUGUAACAUAUAUGUGAGGAUGUUUUAUAACAUAUCUCAAUUUGUGCAA
Molecule: RNA transcript, 3539 nt
Organism: Asparagus officinalis (garden asparagus)
Lineage: Eukaryota; Viridiplantae; Streptophyta; Magnoliopsida; Asparagales; Asparagaceae
Exons: 7
Source: RefSeq, a predicted model, not a curated record